UUAAUGAAAUCGUUGUGGAUUCAUCAUCACUACUACGUAAUUACAAUUACUUUUUUCCUCAAUUAAUGAAAUUUUAACGAGUGUAAAAAGCGAAAACAACAAGAAAUUUAGCAAGCCUAAUGUGUUCAUUGACGAGUUUUGAUUAAUUUUAUCACGAUAUUAAUGAAUGUGCGUCUUAACAUCGCUCGGUAAAUUGGAUGAGUAUUGUUUUUCUUUGAAUUAGCCAUUUUGUAGGGUUUUUUAUCGAUAACCAUAGACAUUUUUCUGAUAAGGGACGCGUAGACACGCAAUUUUUUUUAAAGUAACGUAGUCUGCUUUAAAAAAAACAUUAGGUAUUUGGCUUCGAUUGAAUUUGUUUGUUACAUACAAGGUGGAAUACCUAUAGCUUCUUUUUGUGUUUGUGUUUUUAAAGAAAAGUUAAUACUGCGAAUAUGUUUUUCAACGUUAAAGUUUACGCUUUUGUGAUGGUGGUGCUUGCAGUUUUGGCUGGUGUUUCUGCUUCCCCAGCACCACAGAAUGGAAUGAAUCCAGUUUUUAAGGAUCCGUGCGUUAAAACUUGUGAAAUAGAUAUUUUCGGAAGAGAACCGUUUUGUGGCAGUGAUGGUCGGACUUAUCUCAACACUAGCUUUUUAGAUUGUUUUGAAAAAUGUCAAGUUGCAGUUACGAAGGCUUAUGAUGGACGUUGCAAUAACUGAAUUCAGCAUAACAAAAAUUGCGAAACCGGUUUCCUAAGAUAACUUUGUAGUCUAAUUUGUAUAUUCUAAAGGUUUUUUAUUUACAAAAUAAAAUUUGUUACAUUC
Long non-coding RNA from Planococcus citri (citrus mealybug), 800 nucleotides. RefSeq lists it as uncharacterized. The transcript is spliced from 3 exons. NCBI's taxonomy places the organism in Eukaryota, Metazoa, Arthropoda, Insecta, Hemiptera, Pseudococcidae. The record is from RefSeq and is a predicted model, not a curated record.